RNAcentral lists this ribosomal RNA (590 nucleotides) under uncultured Burkholderia sp. Its description in RNAcentral is "bacterial SSU rRNA". It matches the Rfam family "Bacterial small subunit ribosomal RNA", at positions 418 to 1003 of the family's 1533-position model. The record is from RNAcentral. Lineage: Bacteria; Pseudomonadati; Pseudomonadota; Betaproteobacteria; Burkholderiales; Burkholderiaceae.
UCGGGUUGUAAAGCACUUUUGUCCGGAAAGAAAACUUCUGUCCUAAUACGGCGGGGGGAUGACGGUACCGGAAGAAUAAGCACCGGCUAACUACGUGCCAGCAGCGCGGUAAUCGUAGGGUGCGAGCGUUAAUCGGAAUUACUGGGCGUAAAGCGUGCGCAGGCGGUUCGUUAAGACAGAUGUGAAAUCCCCAGGCUUAACCUGGGAACUGCAUUUGUGACUGGCGGGCUAGAGUAUGGCAGAGGGGGGUAGAAUUCCACGUGUAGCAGUGAAAUGCGUAGAGAUGUGGAGGAAUACCGAUGGCGAAGGCAGCCCCCUGGGCCAAUACUGACGCUCAUGCACGAAAGCGUGGGGAGCAAACAGGAUUAGAUACCCUGGUAGUCCACGCCCUAAACGAUGUCAACUAGUUGUCGGGUCUUCAUUGACUUGGUAACGUAGCUAACGCGUGAAGUUGACCGCCUGGGGAGUACGGUCGCAAGAUUAAAACUCAAAGGAAUUGACGGGGACCCGCACAAGCGGUGGAUGAUGUGGAUUAAUUCGAUGCAACGCGAAAAACCUUACCUACCCUUGACAUGGACGGAGCCUGGCUG